RNAcentral lists this transfer RNA (91 nucleotides) under Candidatus Azoamicus ciliaticola. It matches the Rfam family "tRNA". Rfam says of the family: Transfer RNA (tRNA) molecules are approximately 80 nucleotides in length. Their secondary structure includes four short double-helical elements and three loops (D, anti-codon, and T loops). Further hydrogen bonds mediate the characteristic L-shaped molecular structure. tRNAs have two regions of fundamental functional importance: the anti-codon, which is responsible for specific mRNA codon recognition, and the 3' end, to which the tRNAs corresponding amino acid is attached (by aminoacyl-tRNA synthetases). tRNAs cope with the degeneracy of the genetic code in two manners: having more than one tRNA (with a specific anti-codon) for a particular amino acid; and 'wobble' base-pairing, i.e. permitting non-standard base-pairing at the 3rd anti-codon position. The record is from Rfam by way of RNAcentral. Lineage: Bacteria; Pseudomonadati; Pseudomonadota; Gammaproteobacteria; Candidatus Azoamicaceae.
GGAGAGGUGGCAGAGCGGCUUAAUGCGGUGGUCUUGAAAACCAUUGAAGAUAAAAUUUAUUCUUCCCAGGGUUCAAAUCCCUGCCUCUCCG